AUACUUUGCUGGCAGGGAAGAGACCAUGGUCAUGGUGAUGGUUUUCCCAAGGCGAGGCUUAUCCUUUGUACUCUGGAUGUGCUGACCCCUGCAAUUUCCCCAAAUGUGGGAAACUCAACUUUGUAAUUCGUGAUGGGGGGACUUCGUUACUGCUCUUCUUU
This is a small nuclear RNA of Sorex fumeus (smoky shrew), 161 nucleotides long. RefSeq annotates it as U1 spliceosomal RNA. The transcript has a single exon. The record is from RefSeq and is a predicted model, not a curated record. Lineage: Eukaryota; Metazoa; Chordata; Mammalia; Eulipotyphla; Soricidae.